RNAcentral lists this ribosomal RNA (392 nucleotides) under uncultured Pseudomonadota bacterium. Its description in RNAcentral is "bacterial SSU rRNA". It matches the Rfam family "Bacterial small subunit ribosomal RNA", at positions 671 to 1060 of the family's 1533-position model. Lineage: Bacteria; Pseudomonadati; Pseudomonadota. The record is from RNAcentral.
GCGUGUAGCAGUGAAGUGCGUAGAGAUGUGGAGGAAUACCAAUGGCGAAGGCAGCCCCCUGGGAUAAUACUGACGCUCAUGCACGAAAGCGUGGGGAGCAAACAGGAUUAGAUACCCUGGUAGUCCACGCCCUAAACGAUGCUGACUAGUUGUUCGGGAAUUUAUUCCUGAGUAACGUAGCUAACGCGUGAAGUCAGCCGCCUGGGGAGUACGGUCGCAAGAUUAAAACUCAAAGGAAUUGACGGGGACCCGCACAAGCGGUGGAUGAUGUGGAUUAAUUCGAUGCAACGCGAAAAACCUUACCUACCCUUGACAUGCCACUAACGAAGUAGAGAUACAUUAGGUGCCCGUAAGGGAAAGUGGACACAGGUGCUGCAUGGCUGUCGUCAGCU